RNAcentral lists this ribosomal RNA (1554 nucleotides) under Staphylococcus aureus. Its description in RNAcentral is "16S ribosomal RNA". It matches the Rfam family "Bacterial small subunit ribosomal RNA". The record is from RNAcentral. Lineage: Bacteria; Bacillati; Bacillota; Bacilli; Caryophanales; Staphylococcaceae.
UUUAUGGAGAGUUUGAUCCUGGCUCAGGAUGAACGCUGGCGGCGUGCCUAAUACAUGCAAGUCGAGCGAACGGACGAGAAGCUUGCUUCUCUGAUGUUAGCGGCGGACGGGUGAGUAACACGUGGAUAACCUACCUAUAAGACUGGGAUAACUUCGGGAAACCGGAGCUAAUACCGGAUAAUAUUUUGAACCGCAUGGUUCAAAAGUGAAAGACGGUCUUGCUGUCACUUAUAGAUGGAUCCGCGCUGCAUUAGCUAGUUGGUAAGGUAACGGCUUACCAAGGCAACGAUGCAUAGCCGACCUGAGAGGGUGAUCGGCCACACUGGAACUGAGACACGGUCCAGACUCCUACGGGAGGCAGCAGUAGGGAAUCUUCCGCAAUGGGCGAAAGCCUGACGGAGCAACGCCGCGUGAGUGAUGAAGGUCUUCGGAUCGUAAAACUCUGUUAUUAGGGAAGAACAUAUGUGUAAGUAACUGUGCACAUCUUGACGGUACCUAAUCAGAAAGCCACGGCUAACUACGUGCCAGCAGCCGCGGUAAUACGUAGGUGGCAAGCGUUAUCCGGAAUUAUUGGGCGUAAAGCGCGCGUAGGCGGUUUUUUAAGUCUGAUGUGAAAGCCCACGGCUCAACCGUGGAGGGUCAUUGGAAACUGGAAAACUUGAGUGCAGAAGAGGAAAGUGGAAUUCCAUGUGUAGCGGUGAAAUGCGCAGAGAUAUGGAGGAACACCAGUGGCGAAGGCGACUUUCUGGUCUGUAACUGACGCUGAUGUGCGAAAGCGUGGGGAUCAAACAGGAUUAGAUACCCUGGUAGUCCACGCCGUAAACGAUGAGUGCUAAGUGUUAGGGGGUUUCCGCCCCUUAGUGCUGCAGCUAACGCAUUAAGCACUCCGCCUGGGGAGUACGACCGCAAGGUUGAAACUCAAAGGAAUUGACGGGGACCCGCACAAGCGGUGGAGCAUGUGGUUUAAUUCGAAGCAACGCGAAGAACCUUACCAAAUCUUGACAUCCUUUGACAACUCUAGAGAUAGAGCCUUCCCCUUCGGGGGACAAAGUGACAGGUGGUGCAUGGUUGUCGUCAGCUCGUGUCGUGAGAUGUUGGGUUAAGUCCCGCAACGAGCGCAACCCUUAAGCUUAGUUGCCAUCAUUAAGUUGGGCACUCUAAGUUGACUGCCGGUGACAAACCGGAGGAAGGUGGGGAUGACGUCAAAUCAUCAUGCCCCUUAUGAUUUGGGCUACACACGUGCUACAAUGGACAAUACAAAGGGCAGCGAAACCGCGAGGUCAAGCAAAUCCCAUAAAGUUGUUCCCAGUUCGGAUUGUAGUCUGCAACUCGACUACAUGAAGCUGGAAUCGCUAGUAAUCGUAGAUCAGCAUGCUACGGUGAAUACGUUCCCGGGUCUUGUACACACCGCCCGUCACACCACGAGAGUUUGUAACACCCGAAGCCGGUGGAGUAACCUUUUAGGAGCUAGCCGUCGAAGGUGGGACAAAUGAUUGGGGUGAAGUCGUAACAAGGUAGCCGUAUCGGAAGGUGCGGCUGGAUCACCUCCUUUCU